Molecule: long non-coding RNA, 1263 nt
Filed under: Nicotiana tabacum (common tobacco)
Lineage: Eukaryota; Viridiplantae; Streptophyta; Magnoliopsida; Solanales; Solanaceae
Description: long non-coding RNA (NTAB_LNC018781)
Source: RNAcentral
CAUCCCGCAAUCUUCGCAAGUUUGAGGUAUUUUUCUUGAUUUUUUUUGUUAAAGUUUAUUUUACACUCUUUUAUCUCCCACUGAUGGGAGCUUUCAAUCAGUUGUAAAUCUAAUGACCUGAAAUGGGUAUCAUCUGAAUCGGUUGAUGCAGAGAUUUUUGCAGUAAAGUUCCUUUUUUUUUGGGGGGGGGGGGGGCUUGAAAAUGGAAUUUCGUGUAUUUGUUUAUGUGAAUUGCAGAAUUCUUACUUGCUUGAUCACUGAGGUUCUUUAGCUGAUCAUUCUUGGUUUUAAUUUUUUCUCCUUUUUUCAUCUUUUCGGUUUAGCCGUGUUUGACACUGUUAUAUGAACGAUUGCUUUGCUUCUCAUUAAAGAAUUAGGAUGAUAACAACUAUAUUCCUUUUUUUUGGGGGGGGGGGGUGUAGGAGGGGAUGUUUAGCUGUAUUUUUAGUGCUUUUUUUGAAAUAUCCCUUGCUUUUAAUUAGGAUAUCAAUCACAAACUAGUUGGAGUUGGUAAUAUGAAUUUUCGCUAUCAAUGUUUUGCGCAAUGUAGUCAAUAUUGUGAGAUUCAACAUAAAUUAACUAGCUUUAUGUUGACUCAAUCUACUGCAACUGGUAGUGUAAGCUUAUGUAGGAUCCAAAGUUCACACUAGGAGAGUUUAAGAUUAAGGAUAAAGAAAAUACUUUUCUGUAAUCCCUGAAAAUUGUAGUAUCCAUUUCUUUUGUUACCCCAUAGGAUCUGGUGUUUUCAAAGUAAGUUUUUGCAAUUGGUUGGGUGCUGGGUAGCUUGAUUAUCCCAAAGAUGUAUUUUUUUUUUUCUCAUCUGACUUCUCCGUUUUGCACGCUCUUAUGUCGAAUUUAAUCUGAAAGCCCUUUUUUCAUAUACCCCACCUGUGCAAGUCAUCCUUUCUCAUUCUUCCGAAACUGCAAUUUUGCAAAAAUUAUGUUUCACUCGAGGUAGACCAUCCAUCUAUUUAUAUAUCAGUCCUUAUCUCAUAGUUGUUCUUUACUUUACAGGUGACAAGCAGCGAUACUUUUUUAAAAAUUUCUUCUUAAGAUCUUGGUCAAGAAGGGCAUCAACUCGUUCAGGAUUUCCUGAAGAGGGAGGGUGCCCAAUUACAUUUCUUCUUCAUCUGCCUGCUGAAGCUCCUCUAUCAAUUUCCUUUGCUUAUUCCCAAGUUCCUAUUGCCUCAAUCAUGAGAGUUGGAGGAUUUCCAGUGAUACGUGUGGAAGGUUUUUGAGUAAUCGACAUUGAUUGAAGACAGC